CCUACGGGCGGCAGCAGUGGGGAAUAUUGCACAAUGGGGGAAACCCUGAUGCAGCGACGCCGCGUGAGUGAAGAAGUAAUUCGUUAUGUAAAGCUCUAUCAGCAGGGAAGAAAAUGACGGUACCUGAGUAAGAAGCCCCGGCUAACUACGUGCCAGCAGCCGCGGUAAUACGUAGGGGGCAAGCGUUAGUCGGAUUUACUGGGUGUAAAGGGAGCGUAGACGGCAGAGCAAGUCUGGUGUGAAAGGCGGGGGCUCAACCCCCGGACUGCUCUUGAAACUGUACGGCUGGAGUGCGGGAGAGGUAAGUGGAAUUCCUGGUGUAGGGGUAAAAUGCGUAGAUAUUAAGAGGAACACCAGUGGCGAAGGCGGCUUGCUGGACUGUAACUGACGUUGAGGCUCGAAAGCGUGGGGAGCAAACAGGAUUAGAUACCCUUGUAGUC
This 440-nucleotide ribosomal RNA is filed under the name uncultured bacterium. RNAcentral describes it as "partial 16S ribosomal RNA". It matches the Rfam family "Bacterial small subunit ribosomal RNA", at positions 338 to 795 of the family's 1533-position model. The record is from RNAcentral.